UUCUUAUCAAGAGAGGUGGAGGGAACAGGCCCUGCGAAACCUCAGCAACCUUCAUGAACAACACUUCAUGAAAAGGUGCUAACUCCAGCUUGCACCCCUAAACGUGCAAGGAAGAUAAGGA
RNAcentral lists this non-coding RNA (121 nucleotides) under Jeotgalibacillus campisalis. Its description in RNAcentral is "SAM-I sequence". It matches the Rfam family "SAM riboswitch aptamer (S box leader)". From Rfam's summary of the family: The SAM riboswitch is found upstream of a number of genes which code for proteins involved in methionine or cysteine biosynthesis in Gram-positive bacteria. Lineage: Bacteria; Bacillati; Bacillota; Bacilli; Caryophanales; Caryophanaceae. The record is from Rfam by way of RNAcentral.